UAGGAAUGAUCUGCAGGUAACGCUGUAAGGGAGGUGCUGUUACCUCUGUUUACAGAGGAUAAACCGGAGCCUGGGAGGAGUCGUCGACUGCUGCUCGGUUAUGCAGCCGAUGGGUGGCAAAGCCCCCUGUUGUGCCCAGGCCUAGCACCUGCAAAGGCCAGACAACGGCGUCAACACAGCUGGCAGAUUUAAAAUAACCGUCGCAGUACUGAAGCUGGGUCAGGGAGCCGAGGUAAGGAAAUAGCGCCCCUAGAGGAGACGUAGCUGCUCCAAGAUCACAGAACUGAUGGAGAGCCGAAGGCCUUCCCUCCAUCACCCCGCGUCUAGGUAGACGCUUCGUCUCAAUCGUUUGUUCAGCCCCACUCUGAGGAUGCCUGGCUCCCACUAUGGACUCGUGGCCGCUUCUCCAAAGUCCAGGUUCAGUUCCCAGGAGGAAGUGGCUUCUGAAGAGCACACCUGGUUGCUGGAGAGUGACAGCGGGAGGGGCACACCACAGGAGGAAGGCCCUUGACAGAGGGCUGGCAGAUUAACGCAGCACACUGGUAAGCAUGGGACCCAGAAAAGGCUCCAGUUUGACUGGGCACAUUUUCUACCAAGUGAAAUGAAUUGUUUUUUCCCGACUGAGGAGAGAGAAGAGAAGUUGAGGCUGGACUGCAGGGACUGGCACCUCUUGAUUUACCCAAGGUCCUCUGGCACCUGAAGCCCAGCCUGUUCCCCAACAGUCACCAAGGUGCUGCGUCCUAUCAGGGAUAAUAACACUUCCUGUGGGGUUCCUCCUGCACAGCGUACAAAAUCUUCCACUUCACUAUCACACCAUCAUGAGAGCUGGACAGGGUGGGAAUUAUCCUCCCCAACCCAACCCCCACCUCAUUUUAAAAUAAGAGAACUGGCUGGGCACAGUGGCUCACAUCUGUAAUCCCAGCACUUUGGGAGGCAGAAGAGGGUGGAUCACUUGAGGUCAGGAGUUUGAGGCCAGCCUGGCCAACAUGGUGAACCCCCAUCUCUACUAAAAAUACAAAAAUUAUCUGGGCAUGUUGCCGCAUCUGUAAUCCCAGCUACUUGGGAGACUGAGACAUGAGAAUCACUUGAACCCAGGAGGUGGAGGUUGCAGUGAGCCAGAAUCACACCACUGCACUCCAGCCUGGGCAACAGAGAAAGACUCUGUUUCAAAAAAAGGAAAAUGGGCUGGGCACGGUGGCUCACGCCCAUAAUCUCAGCACUUUGGGAGGCCAAGGUGGGCAAAUCAUUUGAGGUCAGAAGUUCGAGACCAGCCUGGACAACAUGGUGAAACCCUGUCUCUAUUAAAAACACAAAAAUUAGCCAGGCAUGGUGACAGGUGCCUGUAAUCUCAGCUACUUGGGAGGCUGAGGCAGGAGAAUUACUUGAACUUAGGAGGCAGAGGCUGCACUGAGCUGAGAUUGUGCCACUGCACUCUAGCCUGGGCAACAGAGGGAGACUCCACCUCAAAACAAUAAAUAAGUACAUAAAACACACCAAAGAAGCUGGGCAUGAUGGCUCACACCUGUAACCCAGCCUUUGGAAAGCUGAGGCAGGAGGAUCCCUUGAGUCCAGGAAUUCAAGACCAGCAAGGGCAAAUAGCAAGACCCUGCCAAAAAAACGUAUAAGUAAAUAAGCAUGCACCUGUAGUCCUAGCUACUCUGGAGGCUAGGGCAGGAGGAUUGCGUGAGCCCAGGAGUUCAAGGCUACAGUGAGCUAUGAUCAUGGCACUGCAUGCCAGCCUGGGCAACAGAGGAAGACCUUGUCUCAAAAAAUAAAUAAAAUAAAACACACAAAAGCAGUAUUGCACUGGUUAUAGUUUGGUUUCUCCCUACUGACUGCUAAGAAAGAUGCUACAGCUAAAUAAUGAAAAAGGAAUGAUCAAAUUAGAGUAACACCAUUUUGUACCCACAGAUUAAUGAAUGAAUCUAGGCACUGAGUAUCAGCAGCUGUUAACAUCACUCCCUUUACACAUGACACACACACACACACACACACACACACACACACACACACACACAUUAUGUGACCUCUUGAGGAAAGAACACACCAUCACCUACAGUUGUCAAAAAAAUCAAAACCUGAAUUUGAUCAAGUCUCUGAAUCUAGCUACCAAUUUAUUGGAAAUACAGACAUAUUGCAGAGAUAUCAUGGGUUCAGUUCCAGACAACCACAAUAAAAAGAAUAUUGUAAUCAAGUGAGUUACAUGAAUUUGUUGGUUUCCCAGUGCAUAUAAAAGUUAUGUUGGCCGGGUACGGUGGCUCAUGCCUAUAAUCCCAGCACUUUGGGAGGCCGAAGUGGGCAGAUCAUGAAAUCAAGAGAUCAAGACCACCCUGGCCAACAUGAUGAAACCCCGUCUCUACUAAAAAUGCAAAAAUUAGCCCGGCAUGGUGGCAAGCGCCUAUAAUGCCAGCUACUUGGGAAGCUGAGGCAGAAGAAUUGCUUGAACCCAGGAGGUGGAGGUUGCAGUGAGCUGAGAUCAUGCCUCUGCACUCUAGCCUGGACAAUAGAGCAAGACUCUAUCUCAAAAAAAAAAAAAGAACUUUAUCACUGGGUGCAAUGGCUCAAGCCUGUAAUCCCAACUACUCUGGAGGACUGCUUGAGGCCAGAAGUUCAAGACCAGUCUGUGCAAUGUAAUGAGACCUAGCCCCUAAACAAGUAAUACAUAAAAUAAAUAAAAAUUUUAAAAAUUAGCUGAGUGUGGUGACAUGGGUCUAUAGUCCCAGCUACUUGGGAGGUCAAGGCCAGGGGAUUGCUUGAG
Molecule: long non-coding RNA, 2758 nt
Organism: Callithrix jacchus (white-tufted-ear marmoset)
Lineage: Eukaryota; Metazoa; Chordata; Mammalia; Primates; Cebidae
Source: RefSeq, a predicted model, not a curated record